UGUUCUCAUCAAAUGUUAUCAAAUUUCCAUUGUGAGUUUACGUAUCCCUUAUUUUACGCCAUUUAUUAAAUUCUAAAAUGCACAGAUUUUUGCUUUUUUGCAUUAUUUCUGCAAUUAUGAUGAAAACAAUGCAGUUUUUAAGUAAACUUAGGUGGGAUCCAGCAGUGAAGAGAACAUUUUCCUAGCCCUUUGGUGCUUUCAUUCUCAUGGAGCAAGAGACAAUGAAACACAGGUAUACCUAGGAACCUAACUACAAAAGCAGUUGGUGAUAAGUGCCCUGGAGAAAAAUAAAGCAGAGCAGGAGUUCCCACGGCGGCACAAUGGGAUGGGUGGCAUCUCUGUAGCACCAGGAUGCAGGUUCAGUCCCCAGCACAGUGGGUUAAGGCCUCGGCAUCAUCCAUUGCCGCAGCUGCAGUGCAGUCAUGUGCCACAGGGUGGCCAAAAAAGAAAAAUAGUAGUAAUAAUAAUAAUAAUAAAGCAAAGCAAAGAUGUUGCUAAUUUAGAUGAAUUGAUCAGGUCUCUAAGAUUAGCAGGGAAUUCAAUUAGGUUUAAGGGAAUUUGAUUAGAUCCACCACCCUGCUGCACUUGUGUCACCUUUGUAUCAGUCAUUGCGUGUUAGGGAGUCAGGUUUAGUGGAACACAUCUGCAUUAUAGCUUUUGUAAGAAAUGCCACCGAAGUUUCCCAGUCUUCAGUCUGAACCAAGUAAUGUUACUCACUUUUGUAUGUGAAUUUACUCCCUCACUCUGGGUGGUCAGUAAAUUUUGCAAGACAAAGAUUUUACUCAUCUACAUCCACAGUUCAAACUUCCUAUACUAUUCAGUGAAUUUUUUUUUAUCUCAAAUGUAAAUACAUUCACCAGUAAAAUCAAAAACAUAGCUCUUCAUUCAUUCUCUCUUUGAAAUGAAAAGAAAAGAAAAUAGGAAUAAAAAUACAAGUUGAGCUCCUCUCAAGGAAAGAUAUAGACCAGGAUGACAAGGAGCUCAAUGUCUUUGAAAAGACAAAAGCUCAGGAGUUCCUGUCGCAGAGCAGUGGAAACAAAUCCGACUAGGAAACUUGAGGUUGCAGGUGUGAUCCCUCGCCUCACUCAGUGGGUUAAGGAUCCAGCGGUGUUGCCAUGAGCUAUGGUGUAGGUCACAGACACGGCUCGGAUCUGAUAUUGCUGUGGCUGUGGCGUAGGCCAGCAGCAAUAGCUCCGAUUCAACCCCUAGCCUAGGAACCUCCAUUUGCCAUGGGUGCAACCCUAAAAAGACAAAAGACCAAAAAAAAAAAAAAAAAAAAAAAAAGUUCUAGCAAAAUCAAUAUGGCAAGAAAAGGAAAUAUAUUUGGAUUGGAAAGGAAAAAAUAAGAAAACCCUCCCAAUUUACAUGUGAUGUGAUUUACUAUGUAGAAAUUCCCAAGGAACCUACCAAAAAAAAAAAAAAGAAAGAAAGAAAAGACAAAAGCUCAGAAUGCAAAAGUUAGGAAACAUCUAUCAGAAAAUGCUGUUUGUUCAACACCAGAUGGCACUCAGUUAUUAAUUUGCCUGGUGCAAGGCUCAUAGAAGACUAGAGACCUUUUUUUUUUUUUAAAUCGAGGUAUAGUUGAUUUACAAUAUUAAGUUUCGUGUGUACAACUUACUGAUACACGAUUUUUUAAAGUUAUACUCUAUUUAUGGUUAUCAUAAAUAUUGGUUAUAUUCCCUGAGCUGUACAGCAUAUUCUUGUAGCUCAUUUUUCUCCUUUGCUUUUUAGGGCCGCACAUGCAGCAGGUGGAAGUUCCCAGGUGUGGCCCUAAAAAGACAAAAAAAAAAAAAAAAAAAAAAAAACCCAAAAAACAAAAAACCUGUCCAGUGAUUUAUGUGCUUAACAUGGGCCAUCAAUACUAUAUUAAAAUUAAAUCGUGGCAUGAUUAUUUUACCUCUCAAUACACAAUUUGAAACAAUAAGGUAAAAUUCUACCUCAAAACAAAAAUGACACAGUAAAUUCCUAAACAGCUAUCUUUCAAUUUCAAAACUCCACAAACCCCCACAACACUGUUGAUAACAUAUCUUAUUUUUAUUUUUUUACAUCUUAUUUUUAAAGUUAAUUUUGGAUUUACGAGAAAUGACUUUACACUUUUUGGGGUCUUCGUUUUUGCAACUACCCUUUUAUCCUUUUAUGAAGUAAUGAAAAACGUGGCCCACUUGAAAGCAGGGAAAAAAACUAUCAGAAACAGAAAUGCUCAUUUUGUAACUUGGUAACAUGAAUCUUCAGUUUAGCUAAUUGAGCAUGAAGACUCAAAAAAGGCCUGGAUUGUUCCAAUAAUUGUUUAGAAUUUUAGACACCAUCUGACCUUUGACCUUAACAAAUAGAUUUCAAUGUCCUGGUCCUCAGUAAAUAAAAAUAAAGGCUGACCCACCUCUUUUUAUAAAGCAACGCACAAAGGGCUAUUAUUACCACGACUAAGGACACGAUGAUGUCAUUAGCAGCACUCAAGCCAUCAGACCCCUCUGGGCUAUAUUUAGUUUUAUUUGCCUAAUUUCAUUUUGAAUACACUAUCUUUGUUUUCUUUGGAAUGAACGUUCUACAACGGAUCACUUUUUUUUCUAAAAUCCAAUCAUCCCACAACUUCUGUGAGAUCUUUUGUAACGACAUAUUUAGGUUGUUAUUUCUCCAACACAAAGACCUGCCCGACAGGAAGUUGUAAUUAUGCUACAGUGCUAUGUAAAUAUCCCAGGCACUUCGAUUCGGCGUCAGACAGAUUAUCUUUCUCCUCCGUUUCGUCAGAAGGUUGACCACCAUCCCCAGCACUGACGACACGUGCCCGCGAUCCUUUAGGAGCGUCCCUAACCCUAAAGGAACAGGUGCAGGGCUUGGAUGAACCCUGCAGACAGGCAGCCGAGGCACCUGCGGGCCUC
Molecule: long non-coding RNA, 2876 nt
Filed under: Sus scrofa (pig)
Lineage: Eukaryota; Metazoa; Chordata; Mammalia; Artiodactyla; Suidae
Description: lncRNA (ENSSSCG00030005641.1)
Source: RNAcentral